This is a non-coding RNA of Hordeum vulgare subsp. vulgare (domesticated barley), 135 nucleotides long. NCBI's taxonomy places the organism in Eukaryota, Viridiplantae, Streptophyta, Magnoliopsida, Poales, Poaceae. The record is from Rfam.
UUAAUACUCCCUUCGUCCCAAAAUUCUUGUUUAGAUUUAUAUAGAAAUAGAUGUAUUUAAAUACUAAAACGUGACUAGAUACAUUCAUAUCUAGACAAAUCCAAGACAAGAAUUUUCGGACAGAGGGAGUAUAUG